RNAcentral lists this transfer RNA (85 nucleotides) under Pontibacterium sinense. It matches the Rfam family "tRNA". Rfam says of the family: Transfer RNA (tRNA) molecules are approximately 80 nucleotides in length. Lineage: Bacteria; Pseudomonadati; Pseudomonadota; Gammaproteobacteria; Oceanospirillales; Oceanospirillaceae. The record is from Rfam by way of RNAcentral.
GGAGGGAUGGCUGAGUGGUCGAAAGCACUGGUCUUGAAAACCAGCGGUCCGAGAGGGCCCUAGGGUUCGAAUCCCUAUCCCUCCG